This is a non-coding RNA of 97 nucleotides. It matches the Rfam family "Bacterial small signal recognition particle RNA". From Rfam's summary of the family: The signal recognition particle (SRP) is a universally conserved ribonucleoprotein involved in the co-translational targeting of proteins to membranes. Archaeal SRP consists of a 7S RNA and homologues of the eukaryotic SRP19 and SRP54 proteins. The record is from Rfam.
CUCGGGCCCCCUCGCGUCAGUGUUUGCCCAUCUGGUCAGAUUCGGAAGAAAGCAGCCAAUGCAAAUUUGCUUGAGUGCCGGGGUAGGGCUCGUUGGU